AACCUGUGCUGUUGCCAUGGGGUUAUCACAUCUUCCCAGGUGCAGGACUUUGCUGUCAUCUGUGUUGAAUUUCACCAGGUCUCUGCUGACCCCUUCCUCCAGCCUGUCUAGCUCUCUGGACAGGAGCCCUGCUCUCAAGUGUACUGACCGGUCCCCCUGCAGAUGUGAGGAGAGCGCACUCCAUCUCCUUGAGAUUAUUGAUACAGAUGUUAAACAGGACAGUUCCCUGCAGACACCCACAGUGCCCCACUUAUUACUGGCCUCCUUUUAAAAUGAAUGUCUCUUUUUCCACAUCUGGAAGCUUGUCCCACCCAAAGGUCCGGUUCUGACAGCAGCAAGUACACCAAAUGUAGGGAAAAUACCUCACCACCAUUCUGGGAUAAUCUUCAAGACAUAUCUUCCAUAUAGGGCAGUUGCCUGAAAAAAGUCAUCACAGCCAUGGUGUUUGUCCUGUGGCUUUCUGGGAAGAGUCUGUGCGCUUUGGCUCUCCCUUGGGAAGCUCCAGCCCGUUAGUAGCCAAGGUUAGAAGAACUAUACUGAUGAAAAACAAUAAGCGGUUUCUUUUGUACUUUAUGGCUUUGCGAAGGAUAGCGUGCCCAUGCUCAAGGACUUUAUUGUGGAAAAAGAAACAAAAUUGAAGGUGGAAACGGCAGAAAACCGAGCAACCAGUAAACGUGCCGCUUGGCAAGUCGUUCCCAUCAAGGACUGCUAACCCCCCAUGCCAAGGUCCUCUAGAAAGACUUGAUAGUAAAUACUGCACGGCAGACUUCACAGGACCGCGUCGUUAAAACUCGCUGUCGUCUUGGGUGCGUUGCCAAGCUCCUGUAGAAACUGCACAUGACACAACAGCGGAAUGUGCCAGACGAUGCAGAAACAUCUCGCUGUGCUGCAGCUGCGAGAGCAGGUUUUUCUCAUGCCCACACCUUCGUUGCUGUCCUGGUGUUGCAAUACGCAGGACAGCUUGAUGCUCGGCGAGACGUACGACUUUGAAGCUCAGCGGUUGUGGCACUUCUUGGAGCUGGGAGAAGAGAGCUAGCAGUUCCAAGAGCAUUCGUGCAUUUUACACAAUGACCUCUUUUAUAAGGAAAUACUUAGCACAGCCGGGCCUCUGCAUCCCCAGGAUGGUACAGGGAGGGUUAUGCUCCUCCUUUUGGGACCUUUUUGAUUUUCCUUGUUUUGUUUCAACAGAAAAAUGAAAAAUCCCAGAGUAGCCAGUGACCUCUUUCUUUGUGCCAAUCCUCAAAGCUACCAGGCAGCAACGGAGCUGGAGGCACUUCUCCAAAAUCCUUGGGGAGGGCCCUAGCCUCUGUAACCCAAAAUGGACAAGUAGGGGCCGAGGGCACCACAUUCUCCUUCCCCCCCCAUCCCUUUCUGACAUCGUUUUAAAAUAAAGCAAUAAACCAUUCCUCGUGUUUCCUAGAAGCAACACGGAAAGCUUCCCGCGGGUGUCCUGUGCUGCGACCUGGAGCAGGACGACGGCAGCGCAGAGAACAAGGGCUUACCCAGAGCCAAGGGCUUUUCUGCUUCUC
Long non-coding RNA from Aquila chrysaetos chrysaetos, 1529 nucleotides. RefSeq lists it as uncharacterized. The record is from RefSeq and is a predicted model, not a curated record. The transcript is spliced from 3 exons. Lineage: Eukaryota; Metazoa; Chordata; Aves; Accipitriformes; Accipitridae.